GACAGAGGGUGCAAACGUUGCUCGGAAUCACUGGGCGUAAAGGGCGUGUAGGCGGGAGGGAAAGUCAGAUGUGAAAUCCCCAGGCUCAACCUGGGAACUGCAUUUGAAACUCCCCUUCCUUGAGUAUCGGAGAGGAAAGCGGAAUUCCUGGUGUAGAGGUGAAAUUCGUAGAUAUCAGGAGGAACACCAGUGGCGAAGGCGGCUUUCUGGACGAUUACUGACGCUGAGACGCGAAAGCGUGGGGAGCAAACAGG
This 254-nucleotide ribosomal RNA is filed under the name uncultured bacterium. RNAcentral's name for it is "partial 16S ribosomal RNA". It matches the Rfam family "Bacterial small subunit ribosomal RNA", at positions 524 to 776 of the family's 1533-position model. The record is from RNAcentral.